UCGAAAGGUUGGCUAAUACCGCAUACGCCCUACGGGGGAAAGCAGGGGAUCUUCGGACCUUGCGUUAAUGGAGCGGCUGAUAUCUGAUUAGCUAGUUGGUGAGGUAAAGGCUCACCAAGGCGACGAUCAGUAGCUGGUCUGAGAGGACGACCAGCCACACUGGAACUGAGACACGGUCCAGACUCCUACGGGAGGCAGCAGUGGGGAAUUUUGGACAAUGGGCGCAAGCCUGAUCCAGCCAUUCCGCGUGAGUGAAGAAGGCCUUCGGGUUGUAAAGCUCUUUCGCAAGGGAAGAAAACUUACUUUCUAAUAAAGAGUGAGGUUGACGGUACCUUGAUAAGAAGCACCGGCUAACUACGUGCCAGCAGCCGCGGUAAUACGUAGGGUGCGAGCGUUAAUCGGAAUUACUGGGCGUAAAGCGUGCGCAGGCGGCUUUGUAAGUCAGAUGUGAAAUCCCCGAGCUCAACUUGGGAACUGCGUUUGAAACUACAAGGCUAGAAUAUGUCAGAGGGGGGUAGAAUUCCACGUGUAGCAGUGAAAUGCGUAGAGAUGUGGAGGAAUACCAAUGGCGAAGGCAGCCCCCUGGGAUAAUAUUGACGCUCAUGCACGAAAGCGUGGGGAGCAAACAGGAUUAGAUACCCUGGUAGUCCACGCCCUAAACGAUGUCUACUAGUUGUUGGUGGAGUAAAAUCCAUGAGUAACGCAGCUAACGCGUGAAGUAGACCGCCUGGGGAGUACGGUCGCAAGAUUAAAACUCAAAUGAAUUGACGGGGGCCCGCACAAGCGGUGGAUUAUGUGGAUUAAUUCGAUGCAACGCGAAAAACCUUACCUGGCCUUGACAUGUAACGAACUUUCCAGAGAUGGAUUGGUGCUCGAAAGAGAGCGUUAACACAGGUGCUGCAUGGCUGUCGUCAGCUCGUGUCGUGAGAUGUUGGGUUAAGUCCCGCAACGAGCGCAACCCUUGCCAUUAAUUGCCAUCAUUUAGUUGGGCACUUUAAUGGGACUGCCGGUGACAAACCGGAGGAAGGUGGGGAUGACGUCAAGUCCUCAUGGCCCUUAUGGCCAGGGCUUCACACGUAAUACAAUGGUCGGUACAGAGGGUUGCCAAGCCGCGAGGUGGAGCCAAUCCCAGAAAGCCGAUCGUAGUCCGGAUUGUAGUCUGC
RNAcentral lists this ribosomal RNA (1163 nucleotides) under uncultured bacterium. RNAcentral describes it as "bacterial SSU rRNA". It matches the Rfam family "Bacterial small subunit ribosomal RNA", at positions 151 to 1308 of the family's 1533-position model. The record is from RNAcentral.